CUACAGCAGCGGACACAUUAGCGAAUGCAGCAAACAAGCGAACUUUCCAUAGAAAGCACUGAGUUGAAUCGGCGUGCGCGAAAAUUUACAUUUCGAUUUAAACACUAUAGCUUUCAGUUACUUAUUCAGUACAAAAUCGUAGCACCAGCAAGCAACCGUGAUUGUGCGUUGUAUUUCCUUAUCCAACUUCAAUAUUGUGACUGUCAACAGUGAAGAGAGAGCCGACAGGAGAUAUUCCAUAUAAUCCUCGUCCACUAACAGACUCAUGCCUUUUGCUGCAUUGUCUAGUCUGCAAAGCGCUCUGCAACUACUAAUUUUACUGCCAACUAAUCCUCUCCUGUUUCUCACAAUUCUAGGAAAUUGACCACAAAUGUGAAAAGUGUCAGUAUUUUCCAGAUGAAAUUGCAGCUCUUGAAUCCCUUUCAGUUGCUCGAAAUAGUCGGAUUUUCUUGAAAACGACUCACAAAGCGAAGCAUUGUCCCUUGAGAAGGUGAAGAAGAUUGUAUUUUGAAUGCUUUCAUUUUAAGAUCUCUCCACUGUCUUUGUUUCCACUCUCCAAUUGCGUGCUGGAUGUGGUCUAUUCGGUCGAGUAUUACCCAAUUAUGAAUGCUGGGUCUCAAGAUGAGUAUAUGUAGGAGGAGCUAUUCAAAUAGUAUGUUCAGUAGACCGAUUAUGUUGACCAUAAGUUCAGGGAACGUGAAUUUUCGUAAAU
Long non-coding RNA from Ceratitis capitata (Mediterranean fruit fly), 712 nucleotides. RefSeq lists it as uncharacterized. The record is from RefSeq and is a predicted model, not a curated record. NCBI's taxonomy places the organism in Eukaryota, Metazoa, Arthropoda, Insecta, Diptera, Tephritidae. The transcript has 3 exons.